UAAAGGGCAACAUUUGAACCAUAACACAACGCUUAAAAACAGUGUUUAUUCAUUUCUGUUUUACCAGUCAACUACAGUAACCUUUCAGAUAAGGAUAGUAAAUUAUUCAAUAGUCCCUUAACCCCUUUGUUUUCAUGUUAAAUAAUGAAAGUUUAGAUUGAAAUUUAAAGAUUUUAUCAAGAAAAUUUACUUUUUCAGACAAAUUAAAUUUAACUAGUCAUCUUGAGUAUAAAUUGUUACUUUGUAUAAUGUUUAAAACAAGUAAUUUGAUUGAAUUUCAAUUAAUUUUACAUUUUUUGCUCAAUGAAUAGUACUUGCUGUGUACAUAAGCUAUUUCAAGUCACUAACAUCUGGUAGGUUAAUGUACCUUCAUUAUUUGAUUGAAUUAUUAUUAAUGUACAGAUUGUGAAAAUGAGAAAAAUUGGAAAUAUCCAACCAAAAGAAUUUAAGGGUCUUGAUGACUUGGCGUUGGAUCAAAAUAUCUGAAUACCGAUUCCCGAAGACGAAGGAUAGACAUCUAUUCAAGACUUACAAUUCAAUGAGUAUCACAAUAACCCUAAACUUGAUAGGAUUUGAAUGGAGACUUAACCAGGAGACAUUAAAAUGGAUUUUCUGUAUCAUCAUCCUUUCAACUGUGAUUUGACAUGAUCAUCGAAAGUCUGCCGGGAUAAAGUACAAAUGAAAGGACAAAUUUUUAAAAUUCCGUUGGUUUUACUGAUGACAAUGGGAAGAGAGGAAGAGCAUGAAGAUAAUUCAGUAGCUUAAAAAUAAUUGACACAACCAGAAAUAAUGGUUGGUUAGGACCACAUGUUAAUCGCUUUUCAACACACAUGCUACCAACUGGACGUGAAAUGGACGGACACCAAAUGGAUUUGAUUGAUGAAAAUUGAUUAAUUCAGCCAAAUGACAGAGACACACUUAUACUGACAGCAAAAGCCAAGCAAUUUAAAUUAUAUUGCUGGGAAGGAAUUGAUUUUCAAUUGUAUCAAAGUAACAACACACUGAAAACCAACAGUUAAAGGCAGUUGAAGGAAACCAUUAUAAUGUAGCCAGUUUUAUUUGGCGUGAGAUUGAAACACACAUUCAUAGACACAUCCACAUGAAGGGACACAAUAAACCUUUAACAGUUUUUACAUCCUCAUCUUAAUAAUAAUAAUGAAGAGAAGAUAAUGUUUGAUAUUGAUGAAGAAGAAGAUGAUGUUGAUGAUGAUGAUCCUUAUUUUAUUAUAUUGUUCACCAGAGUGAAGCCAAAAGCCAAUAUGAACAAAAGAGUGUCUCUUUUUUUUUGUUCAUAAUAAGGUCAAUAUCAAAACCAAUGAGGAUUGUCAAUCUCAUUUUCUCAUCUUCUUUCUCAUCCCAUUCUUGAUCAUCUCUUUCCUUUCUUCUUUCCUCUCCCAUGUACAGUAAUAUAUUCAAAUGUAAUUGUUACCAUUUUAGGCCAUUAGUAUCUAAAAAGCUGUAUCUUUUAACUCCUCAGGAGACACAAUAAACAAAUAAUAAACAAAAAGGCAAAUGAAUAUAAAUAAA
Molecule: long non-coding RNA, 1527 nt
Organism: Tetranychus urticae (two-spotted spider mite)
Lineage: Eukaryota; Metazoa; Arthropoda; Arachnida; Trombidiformes; Tetranychidae
Source: RefSeq, a predicted model, not a curated record